GCCCUAUUUACAUGAUUCCCAACUUAUGCUAUAGCAUGAACUUGCUCUAUACCAAUCUAUUCAUUACAAAAAUUCUGUUGUAACUAGAAAGGCCUUUAAUGUGACCAGAACCCAUAUAUAGGCUUGAAAAAUCUACAAGAAAGAAUAUUCUAUUCAGCAACAUAGAAUCACAUUGUUUAGAAAAUCAAUGUCAAGCUCCACGGAUGUGUUGGAUCUGCUGGAAAUGCUUCUGGGCUGCUCUGUUAUUAGUAGCUGCUCGAUCAUUUUCCCCAUAUUCCACCACUGUAUUUGCAGAACUUGGGGUUGACUCAUUAGAAGUGAAUAGAUGAAGUAAAGCUCCCAUUACACAACCCAGUAGGGGAAGAAAGGAGCACUUCACCAUGAUCUAUCUCAGAAUCAUCAUGGGACUGGAAUGGAUUGGAUUGGAAUUUGGCAGACGAAAGAAGGUCUCUUGAAA
This 457-nucleotide unclassified non-coding RNA is filed under the name Hevea brasiliensis (rubber tree). The record is from RNAcentral. Lineage: Eukaryota; Viridiplantae; Streptophyta; Magnoliopsida; Malpighiales; Euphorbiaceae.